Molecule: non-coding RNA, 612 nt
Organism: Poecilia reticulata (guppy)
Lineage: Eukaryota; Metazoa; Chordata; Actinopteri; Cyprinodontiformes; Poeciliidae
Source: RefSeq, a predicted model, not a curated record
GUCCCCACUCUGACCCUGCUGAGAUCAAAUCCUUUCCCUUUUAACCUGAUGAUGACUCUACCUCCAGCCUGCUCCAAAAAGACAGCAGGCUGUUGUGUUCAGCGGGGGAUUGGGCUAAAACGCUUGUGGCGGAGCCAAGGUAAACCGUUCCAAAUGGAGGAGCGGCGCGGGAAAAGGGACACCAUCGCAACAAAAGGAGUUAGAUAUGGAUCGUUGGGCCUGUGCACUGGCCACAGCUUGAGGCAAUUAUCAGUGUCAUCUUGAUCCAAUUUAAUCAAUCUGAGGGGGAGACUGCGAGAGGUGCGGGAGGGUGCUGGACGGGGUGCAAACGUUGGUCAGAUAGCCUGAGCUGACUAAGGACGUUUCUUGCCCUGCACCAACCAGUCAUCCUCCCAUCAGCAGCUCCACGGAGGUAUGUGUUAAAGCCCAUAAGAACUCUGGUGUAGGACCAAACAAGCAAACUCUGGUCCACUUGAAAACUUGAGUUUCUGUUCGUAAGUGAACUCUAGCAUAGUUUGCUUACAGCUGGAAAUCAAAUACUCCAUUUGGAACCAAAGAGAGGAAGUAUCUAUUUCAUACGCUUUCAUACAUGUAUGUGAUCUGAAAACUUAA